CAGUCGCCGCGGUAAUACGAGGGGAGCUAGCGUUGUUCGGAAUUACUGGGCGUAAAGCGCGCGUAGGCGGCUUUUUAAGUCAGAGGUGAAAGCCCGGGGCUCAACCCCGGAAUUGCCUUUGAAACUGGAAAGCUAGAAUCUUGGAGAGGUCAGUGGAAUUCCGAGUGUAGCGGUGAAAUUCGUAGAUAUUCGGAAGAACACCAGUGGCGAAGGCGACUGACUGGACAAGUAUUGACGCUGAGGUGCGAAAGCGUGGGGAGCAAACAGGAUUAGAUACCCCAGUAGUCCCUGUCUCUUAUAC
This 301-nucleotide ribosomal RNA is filed under the name uncultured bacterium. RNAcentral describes it as "partial 16S ribosomal RNA". It matches the Rfam family "Bacterial small subunit ribosomal RNA", at positions 509 to 807 of the family's 1533-position model. The record is from RNAcentral.